CCUACGGGCGGCAGCAGUGAGGAAUAUUGGUCAAUGGGCGCAAGCCUGAACCAGCCAAGUCGCGUGAGGGAAGACGGUCCUACGGGUUGUAAACCUCUUUUGCCGGGGAACAAGCCUGAGCACGUGUACCCAGGCGGGGAGUCCCCGGAGAAAAAGCUCCGGCUAACUCCGUGCCACCAGCCGCGGUAAUACGGAGGAUGCGAGCGUUAUCCGGAUUUAUUGGGUUUAAGGGGUGCGCAGGCGGGCUGUUAAGCCGGCGGUAAAAACUCAGGGCUCAACCCGGCCGAGCCGUCGGAACUGGCAGGCUGGAGUGGGCGAGAAGUAUGCGGAAUGCGUGGUGUAGCGGUGAAAUGCAUAGAUAUCACGCAGAACGCCGAUUGCGAAGGCAGCGUACCGGCGCCCAACUGACGCUGAGGCACGAAAGCGUGGGGAUCGAACAGGAUUAGAUACCCUGGUAGUC
Molecule: ribosomal RNA, 460 nt
Filed under: uncultured bacterium
Lineage: Bacteria
Description: partial 16S ribosomal RNA
Rfam family: Bacterial small subunit ribosomal RNA
Source: RNAcentral